Molecule: ribosomal RNA, 451 nt
Filed under: uncultured bacterium
Lineage: Bacteria
Description: bacterial SSU rRNA
Rfam family: Bacterial small subunit ribosomal RNA
Source: RNAcentral
GUGGGGAAUAUUGGACAAUGGGGGGAACCCUGAUCCAGCCAUGCCGCGUGUGUGAAGAAGGCCUUUUGGUUGUAAAGCACUUUAAGCGAGGAGGAGGCUACCGAGAUUAAUACUCUUGGAUAGUGGACGUUACUCGCAGAAUAAGCACCGGCUAACUCUGUGCCAGCAGCCGCGGUAAUACAGAGGGUGCAAGCGUUAAUCGGAUUUACUGGGCGUACAGCGCGCGUUGGUGGCCAAUUAAGUCAAAUGUGAAAUCCCCGAGCUUAACUUGGGAAUUGCAUUCGAUACUGGUUGUCUAGAGUAUGGGAGAGGAUGGUAGAAUUCCAGGUGUAGCGGUGAAAUGCGUAGAGAUCUGGAGGAAUACCGAUGGCGAAGGCAGCCAUCUGGCCUAAUACUGACACUGAGGUGCGAAAGCAUGGGGAGCAAACAGGAUUAGAAACCCUAGUAGUCC